Non-coding RNA from Prunus avium (sweet cherry), 449 nucleotides. Lineage: Eukaryota; Viridiplantae; Streptophyta; Magnoliopsida; Rosales; Rosaceae. The record is from RefSeq and is a predicted model, not a curated record.
GACUCUCAUCUCUCUCACGAUCCUCUCACUCUCAGACUCUCAGACUCUCAGUCGAUCAGCCCUGCACGCAGCGACAGUUUGUGAUCACCAUCUAUUCCUCUCCUCCGAUUUCUUCUGUGGGUUUCUCUCUCAAAUCAGUCAAAGGUUAUGCUACAUACAUGCUAGGUCUGUUUUGAUUGUUGUUUAGCAUCUCUGCUGCUGAGCUUUGAAAGUUUCGAAAAGCUUUUGCUUAAAUGGAGGUUGUUUUGUUAAGGCUUUUGGAAGAAUGGAUGCAGCAGAUUUUUUGCAAGGAUAUUAUCUUCAUGUGUAUUUUUGUGAUGAGUUGUAAUCUUUAAUUUCAUAAGUUUAAUUUGGUUUGUGUAUUAUUUUUUGUAAUGGUUUGUAAGAGAUUAUAUUUCCUUUUCUUGGUUGGUUGGUUAAAUGGGUGAAUGUGAGAUUCAUUUAGUUUA